GUUGGUGACGACGGGCGGGUGCACACCUUUUCCCAUUCCGAACAGAGCCGUUAAGCCCCGCACUGCCGAUGGUACUGGUGUCACGACCGGGAGAGUAGGCGGUCGCCACCC
Molecule: non-coding RNA, 111 nt
Organism: Fibrella sp. ES10-3-2-2
Lineage: Bacteria; Pseudomonadati; Bacteroidota; Cytophagia; Cytophagales; Spirosomataceae
Source: Rfam